AACGAACGCUGGCGGCAUGCCUAACACAUGCAAGUCGAACGAGACCUUCGGGUCUAGUGGCGCACGGGUGCGUAACGCGUGGGAAUCUGCCCUUAGGUACGGAAUAACUCAGGGAAACUUGUGCUAAUACCGUAUGAUGUCGAGAGACCAAAGAUUUAUCGCCUAGGGAUGAGCCCGCGUAGGAUUAGCUAGUUGGUGGGGUAAAGGCCUACCAAGGCUACGAUCCUUAGCUGGUCUGAGAGGAUGAUCAGCCACACUGGGACUGAGACACGGCCCAGACUCCUACGGGAGGCAGCAGUGGGGAAUAUUGGACAAUGGGCGAAGGCCUGAUCCAGCAAUGCCGCGUGAGUGAAGAAGGCCUUCGGGUUGUAAAGCUCUUUUACCCGGGAAGAUAAUGACUGUACCGGGAGAAUAAGCCCCGGCUAACUCCGUG
RNAcentral lists this ribosomal RNA (433 nucleotides) under uncultured bacterium. RNAcentral's name for it is "bacterial SSU rRNA". It matches the Rfam family "Bacterial small subunit ribosomal RNA", at positions 29 to 507 of the family's 1533-position model. The record is from RNAcentral.